UCUUCAAAGAAAGAAAUCUAAAGUAUGUGCAGGCGGGCUCGCCGUCGGGCCGCAUCAAGGCCGUCGGGAAGGGGGCCGGCGGGUGGGAAAUGAGAAAUUAGGGUUUGGGAGAGGAGGAAGGGAACUGUAGCUACAUGGGAGGGAUAUUUUUUGUUUUAAUUUUUUUUUUCAAGUGUAUUUUUUUUAGUCCAAGUGUCAAUAUUUUAAUCCAAAUGUCAUUUUCCGAUGUCCAUAUUGAAGUAAAUCGAUGACCGAACAUAAAUUAGAAGAAAACAAAAAGUUAUAGAUUCUGAAGAAAUAUUAAAGAAUAGGUGCAAUUUCAGAAUUCAUGACUUUUUUUUUUAGAUUUAC
This 351-nucleotide long non-coding RNA is filed under the name Salvia miltiorrhiza (redroot sage). RNAcentral's name for it is "long non-coding RNA (SMIL_LNC010857)". The record is from RNAcentral. Lineage: Eukaryota; Viridiplantae; Streptophyta; Magnoliopsida; Lamiales; Lamiaceae.